Molecule: ribosomal RNA, 424 nt
Filed under: uncultured bacterium
Lineage: Bacteria
Description: bacterial SSU rRNA
Rfam family: Bacterial small subunit ribosomal RNA
Source: RNAcentral
GGACCCGCACAAGUAGUGGAGCAUGUGGUUUAAUUCGAAGAUACGCGCAGAACCUUACCAACACUUGACAUGUUCGUCGCGACUCUAAGAGAUUAGAGUUUUCGGUUCGGCCGGACGAAACACAGGUGCUGCAUGGCUGUCGUCAGCUCGUGUCGUGAGAUGUUCGGUUAAGUCCGGUAACGAGCGCAACCCCUAUCCUUAGUUGCCAAUUAUGGAACUCUAAGGAGACUGCCGGUGUCAAACCGGAGGAAGGUGGGGACGACGUCAAGUCCUCAUGGCCCUUACGACUGGGGCUACACACGUACUACAAUGGCGACUACAGAGGGACGCAAGACUGUGAAGUGGAGCAAAUCCCCAAAAGUCGCCUCAGUUCAGAUUGUAGUCUGCAACUCGACUACAUGAAGUUGGAAUCGCUAGUAAUCGC